RNAcentral lists this ribosomal RNA (266 nucleotides) under uncultured bacterium. RNAcentral's name for it is "partial 16S ribosomal RNA". It matches the Rfam family "Bacterial small subunit ribosomal RNA", at positions 79 to 339 of the family's 1533-position model. The record is from RNAcentral.
CUUGCUUUUCUGAAUCUAGUGGCGAACGGGUGAGUAACACGUAGGUAACCUGCCCAUGUGCCCGGGAUAACUUCUGGAAACGGAUGCUAAAACCGGAUAGGUAGCAGACAAGCAUUUGACUGCUAUUAAAGUGGCUAAGGCCAUGAACAUGGAUGGACCUGCGGUGCAUUAGCUAGUUGGUGAGGUAACGGCCCACCAAGGCGACGAUGCAUAGCCGGCCUGAGAGGAAGGCCCCCACAAUGGGACUGAGACACGGCCCAUACUCC